AGUGAACGCUGGCGGUAGGCCUAACACAUGCAAGUCGAACGGCAGCACAGUAAGAGCUUGCUCUUACGGGUGGCGAGUGGCGGACGGGUGAGGAAUACAUCGGAAUCUACUUUUUCGUGGGGGAUAACGUAGGGAAACUUACGCUAAUACCGCAUAAGACCUACGGGUGAAAGCAGGGGAUCUUCGGACCUUGCGCGAAUGAAUGAGCCGAUGUCGGAUUAGCUAGUUGGCGGGGUAAAGGCCCACCAAGGCGACGAACCGUAGCUGGUCUGAGAGGAUGAUCAGCCACACUGGAACUGAGACACGGUCCAGACUCCUACGGGAGGCAGCAGUGGGGAAUAUUGGACAAUGGGCGCAAGCCUGAUCCAGCCAUACCGCGUGGGUGAAGAAGGCCUUCGGGUUGUAAAGCCCUUUUGUUGGGAAAGAAAAGCAGCAGGUUAAUACCCCGCUGUUCUGACGGUACCCAAAGAAUAAGCACCGGCUAACUUCGUG
Molecule: ribosomal RNA, 492 nt
Filed under: uncultured bacterium
Lineage: Bacteria
Description: partial 16S ribosomal RNA
Rfam family: Bacterial small subunit ribosomal RNA
Source: RNAcentral